This 388-nucleotide long non-coding RNA is filed under the name Anthonomus grandis grandis. Its description in RNAcentral is "uncharacterized LOC126742523". The record is from RNAcentral. Lineage: Eukaryota; Metazoa; Arthropoda; Insecta; Coleoptera; Curculionidae.
CUUUUUCACCCUGUAAUGCUUAUGCUUUACAUUUUUUCGAUUUUCACCCUGCAUGUAGGUUGAACUAGCAUAUUUGGGUUUUGGAGAGGAAUGGCAUAUGAACCCAUUAAAAACAAAUGAAAAAUGUUCCUGAUGGUAAACUCAAGGUUUAGCAGUACUGUAUUUGAAGUUGACAUGUAUGUAAUGGCUCAUCUCUGACCUCGAUGCGAUUUUCCCAUUUCUCCCUUUUGAAUUACGUAACAUCUGUAAUUUGGCAUAAAUUGAUUGUCAACAGAAAAGCCAGCAAAUGGACACUACGGAGGUUAUAAACCCAUAAUAUGCAUUUAGGAUGUUCUAAAAUAACUAUUUCUUGUAUACUUUUAUUUGUUAAAAUAAACUAUUUUAUUUA